AACGCGAAGAACCUUACCUGGGCUUGAACUACUGGUAGUAAGUCUUUGGAAACAUGGACUGAUCCGCAAGGAAGCCAGCAGAGGUGCUGCAUGGUUGUCGUCAGCUCGUGUCGUGAGAUGUUGGGUUAAGUCCCGCAACGAGCGCAACCCCUAUCUCAUGUUGCUAAUCCCGCAAGGGAUGCACUUUUGAGAAACUGCCUUCGAUAAGAAGGAGGAAGGUGGGGAUGACGUCAAAUCCUCAUGGCCCUUAUGUCCAGGGCUACACACGUGCUACAAUGGCCGGUACAACGGGAAGCAAUACCGCAAGGUGGAGCCAAACCCUGAAAGCCGGCCCCAGUUCAGAUCGUGGGCUGAAACUCGCCCACGUGAAGGCGGAAUCGCUAGUAAUCGCGAAUCAGCAGGUCGCGGUGAAUACGUUCCCGGGCCUUGUA
Molecule: ribosomal RNA, 431 nt
Filed under: uncultured Elusimicrobium sp.
Lineage: Bacteria; Pseudomonadati; Elusimicrobiota; Elusimicrobia; Elusimicrobiales; Elusimicrobiaceae
Description: bacterial SSU rRNA
Rfam family: Bacterial small subunit ribosomal RNA
Source: RNAcentral